This 253-nucleotide ribosomal RNA is filed under the name uncultured bacterium. RNAcentral describes it as "partial 16S ribosomal RNA". It matches the Rfam family "Bacterial small subunit ribosomal RNA", at positions 524 to 776 of the family's 1533-position model. The record is from RNAcentral.
UACGGAGGUGGCAAGCGUUACUCGGAUUCACUGGGUGUAGAGGGCAAGUAGGCGGUUCCGCAAGUCGGGUGUGAAAGCCCACGGCUCAACCGUGGAAUGGCGCCCGAAACUGCGGAACUUGAGGACAGGAGAGGCCAACGGAAUUCCCGGUGUAAGGGUGAAAUCUGUAGAGAUCGGGAGGAACACCAGUGGCGAAGGCGGUUGGCUGGCCUGUUUCUGACGCUGAGAGGCGAAAGCUAGGGGAGCGAACAGG